Molecule: non-coding RNA, 79 nt
Organism: Trichonephila clavipes
Lineage: Eukaryota; Metazoa; Arthropoda; Arachnida; Araneae; Nephilidae
Source: the annotation of a GenBank genome assembly
UUCAGGAUGGCCAAGCGGUCAAAGGCGCAGCGUUCCUGCCACUCGGUUUUGGCGUGGGUUCGAAUCCCACUUCUGAUAA